Molecule: ribosomal RNA, 253 nt
Filed under: uncultured bacterium
Lineage: Bacteria
Description: partial 16S ribosomal RNA
Rfam family: Bacterial small subunit ribosomal RNA
Source: RNAcentral
UACGUAGGAUGCAAGCGUUGUCCGGAAUUAUUGGGCGUAAAGAGCGAGCAGGCGGUUACUCAAGUCAGAUGUAAAAUAUCCCGGCUUAACCGGGAGGGGCCAUUUGAAACUGGGCAACUAGAGUGAAGCAGAGGAUAGCGGAAUUCCCGGUGUAGUGGUGAAAUGCGUAGAUAUCUGGAGGAAUACCGGUGGCGAAGGCGGCAUCCUGGACCAUUACUGACGCUGAGGCGCGAAAGCUAGGGGAGCAAACGGG